This 400-nucleotide ribosomal RNA is filed under the name phytoplankton environmental sample. RNAcentral describes it as "partial small subunit ribosomal RNA". It matches the Rfam family "Eukaryotic small subunit ribosomal RNA", at positions 587 to 990 of the family's 1831-position model. The record is from RNAcentral.
AGCUCCAAUAGCGUAUAUUAAAGUUGUUGCGGUUAAAAAGCUCGUAGUUGGAUUUCUGUCGGUGAGGUGCAGUCCGGCCUUUGUGUUGUGUACUUGUACCGCCACCGGCAUCUUCCUAGGGACUGUGUCUGCUCUUCAUUGAGUGGCGCAUAAUCUAGGACUUUUACUUUGAGGAAAUAGGAGUGUUUCAAGCAGGCAUGCGCCGUGAACACGUUAGCAUGGAAUAAUAGCAUCGGACCUCGCUCCAAAGCUGUUGGUUUCUUGGAACGAGGUAAAGGUGAAUAGGGAUUGUUGGGGGCAUUCGUAUUUAACUGUCAGAGGUGAAAUUCUUGGAUUUGUUGAAGACGGACUACUGCGAAAGCAUCUGCCAAAGAUGUUCUCAUUGAUCAAGAACGAAAGU